RNAcentral lists this ribosomal RNA (528 nucleotides) under Amanita australis. RNAcentral's name for it is "partial small subunit ribosomal RNA". It matches the Rfam family "Bacterial small subunit ribosomal RNA", at positions 364 to 907 of the family's 1533-position model. Lineage: Eukaryota; Fungi; Basidiomycota; Agaricomycetes; Agaricales; Amanitaceae. The record is from RNAcentral.
UUAGUCAAUGCUCGCAAGAGUGAACUAGCUAACUGAAAUCACAAGCAAUUUUUAUAAUUAAUUGUGAUAAGGUAAGGGAAAAAACUGAUAUUACCUUACUAUUAGUGUUGUCCAAAUCUGGUGCCAGAAGACUCGGUAAGACCAGAAACGCAAACGUUAAUCAUCUUAAUCAGGCGUAAAGGGUUCGUAGGCGGCUUUUAAUUUUUUUAUUAAAAAAAAAGCUCUUUAUUUAAAAAAAGAAAAAUAAAAAUUGUAAUAAAAGCUAGAAUCAUCAAUAGGAUAUGAAAAAUGCUUAGAGUAGGGAUAAAAUCCAUAGAUACUAGGUGGAAUACUAACGGCGAAAGCUUCUAUCUACAAAUGAUUGACGCUGAGGAACGAAGGUGAGAAUAGGAAAUAGGAUUUGGUACCCAGAUACCUCUCACAGUCAACGAUGAAUGGUAGUUAGUUAGUUUAAUAAAAAUUGAUAACGAUGCUAACGCGUUAACCAUUCCGCCUUGCGAGUACGGUUGCAAAACUGAAACCAAAAAA